Molecule: ribosomal RNA, 459 nt
Filed under: uncultured bacterium
Lineage: Bacteria
Description: partial 16S ribosomal RNA
Rfam family: Bacterial small subunit ribosomal RNA
Source: RNAcentral
CUACGGGUUGCUCCAGUAAGGAAUAUUGCGCAAUGGAGGCAACUCUGACGCAGCCAUGCCGCGUGCAGGAAGAAGGCCUUAUGGGUCGUAAACUGCUUUUAUUUAGGAAUAAACCCUCGCUCGUGAGCGAGGCUGAAGGUACUGAAUGAAUAAGCACCGGCUAACUCCGUGCCAGCAGCCGCGGUAAUACGGAGGGUGCAAGCGUUAUCCGGAUUUAUUGGGUUUAAAGGGUGCGCAGGCGGGCUAUUAAGUCAGUGGUGAAAUCCCGGGGCUCAACUCCGGAACUGCCAUUGAUACUGAUAGUCUUGAGUUUGGUUGAAGUGGGCGGAAUGUAGCAUGUAGCGGUGAAAUGCAUAGAUAUGCUACAGAACACCAAUCGCGAAGGCAGCUCACUAAGCCAAAACUGACGCUCAUGCACGAAAGCGUGGGGAUCAAACAGGAUUAGAUACCCUGGUAGUC